This 332-nucleotide ribosomal RNA is filed under the name uncultured bacterium. RNAcentral describes it as "bacterial SSU rRNA". It matches the Rfam family "Bacterial small subunit ribosomal RNA", at positions 568 to 898 of the family's 1533-position model. The record is from RNAcentral.
UGCGUAGGCGGUGCGGUAAGUCUGUUGUGAAAUCUCCGGGCUCAACUCGGAGCCUGCAACGGAAACUGCCGUGCUGGAGUAUGGGAGAGGUGAGUGGAAUUCCCGGUGUAGCGGUGAAAUGCGUAGAUAUCGGGAGGAAGACCUGUGGCGAAAGCGGCUCACUGGACCAUUACUGACGCUGAUGCACGAAAGCUAGGGGAGCAAACAGGAUUAGAUACCCUGGUAGUCCUAGCCCUAAACGAUGAUCGCUUGGUGUGACAGGUACCCAAUCCUGUUGUGCCGGAGCUAACGCGUUAAGCGAUCCGCCUGGGGAGUACGGUCGCAAGGCUGAA